RNAcentral lists this ribosomal RNA (402 nucleotides) under Clostridioides difficile. RNAcentral's name for it is "partial 23S ribosomal RNA". It matches the Rfam family "Bacterial large subunit ribosomal RNA", at positions 2521 to 2925 of the family's 2925-position model. Lineage: Bacteria; Bacillati; Bacillota; Clostridia; Peptostreptococcales; Peptostreptococcaceae. The record is from RNAcentral.
GCACCUCGAUGUCGGCUCAUCACAUCCUGGGGCUGUAGUAGGUCCCAAGGGUUGGGCUGUUCGCCCAUUAAAGUGGUACGCGAGCUGGGUUCAGAACGUCGUGAGACAGUUCGGUCCCUAUCCGUCGCAGGCGUAGGAAAUUUGAGAAGACCUGUCCUUAGUACGAGAGGACCGGGAUGGACGUACCUCUGGUGUACCAGUUGUCCUGCCAAGGGCAUGGCUGGGUAGCUAUGUACGGAAUGGAUAAGCGCUGAAAGCAUCUAAGCGCGAAGCCAACUUCAAGAUAAGAUUUCCCACCGCAAGGGUAAGACCCCAGAAAGACUAUCUGGUUGAUAGGUCGAAGGUGUAAGUGCAGCAAUGUAUUUAGCUUAUCGAUACUAAUAGGUCGAGGACUUGACCAAU